AUGCCACACAUUCUGCUUCCCAGACCCCUGCCUGGGAAGAGUGGGACUCCACAGGUCUGGGGGAAGCCUGGGAGUGGCACCUAUGAGCAGCUGCCUCAGAGAUUCUUAAUCAUUUUACAGAUACCUCCAGAGCACUUAACCAUGUGCUCUGCCGGUCUCUGGGGACACAGAGAUGCAUGGCUCUUGGGACAGUCGCAUUGGGAAGAUCCCGUCUGCUCAGAGCUCAGCUGCUGGCUGCUUCCUCCAUCAAACCCUCACCCAAGGCCUGUCUCAGGCAGAAGCACCUGUCACCCCAGCCUUGACACCGGGCCAAUUAUCUUAGACACCUGGAUGAGACAACAGCCUGGAUCAUCCCCCUCAGGCCACAACACCAGCACAAGGUCCAGACCACCGCCAGGCAGACCUCAGUGCCUGAGAUGCCGGGAUGGCAUCUUGCUUUGCCUAAGUGGGUUCUGACACGUCGCUGUUUCUUCUCAUUAAAAAGAAAAACAAAAACACAAAUCUAAGUAAUGUGUGCCCAGCACCCACCACAGAUGUUUGUGUCUUCAGCGUGUGCAUGUCAGGUAAACCCAUCCACGGGAGCCCAGAGUCAGCCCAUACUGAGAGGUCAAACCAGGGACAGGGUGCUCUUAGGGUCAUGGACAUAACGGACGUCAAACAGGUUUGAGACAUCGCCACAGCCUUUAUUUCUUGCUUCCGGCAAAGCGGUUUUCUGAUGAAGCAGGACAAAAGCCACUAUUCCCUGUGGCGGCCUAGGGCCCUGGAGUUGGACACAAGCAUGGCAGAUAGCUAAGCUCAAACUUAAGCUCUAUUUGCCUGCUUCCUCCCAACCCCGCCCCCUUCCCACAACCCCGCCCCCUCCAUAACCCCGCCCCUUUCCUCCAACCCUGCUCCACUCACAACAGCCAGAGCGAGCAUUAAUCAAGGCCAUAACCCCAGUGCUCGCUUAGGCAGCACAUAUGCUAAAUACAGAGAAAAUUAACGUUGCCCCCGUGCAAGGAUGACACACAAGUUUGUGAAGGGGUCCGUGUUUUUACUUAUAUGUGAAAUCUAAAAUACAGCACAGAACCAUGAGGUUGCGGGUUGGAUCCCUGGCCUCGUUCCGGCGUUGCGGUGAGCUAUGGGGUAGGUCACAGAUGUGGCUCAGAUCCGGCACUGAUGUGGCUGUGGCGUAGGCUGGCAGCUGUAGCUCCCGUUGGACCCCUAUCCUGGAACGUCCAUAUGCUGUGGGUGAGGCCCUAAAAAGCAAAAAAUAAAUAAAAAUAAAAUAAAAUAUGGCA
This 1280-nucleotide long non-coding RNA is filed under the name Sus scrofa (pig). The record is from RNAcentral. Lineage: Eukaryota; Metazoa; Chordata; Mammalia; Artiodactyla; Suidae.